UACAGCCACAUCACUUAGAAACACCAGUCCCUGUAUGGUCACCAAAGUUAAGCAAUGUUGAGCUUGGUCAGUACCUAGAUGGGUGACUGCCUGGGAUUACCAAGUGAUGUAAG
Acanthosepion pharaonis is the source of this 113-nucleotide non-coding RNA. Lineage: Eukaryota; Metazoa; Mollusca; Cephalopoda; Sepiida; Sepiidae. The record is from the annotation of a GenBank genome assembly.